UCCAGACUCCUACGGGAGGCAGCAGUGGGGAAUAUUGCGCAAUGGGCGAAAGCCUGACCCAGCAACGCCGCGUGAAGGAAGAAGGCUUUCGGGUUGUAAACUUCUUUUGACAGGGAAGAGCAGAAGACGGUACCUGUCGAAUAAGCCACGGCUAACUACGUGCCAGCAGCCGCGGUAAUACGUAGGUGGCAAGCGUUGUCCGGAUUUACUGGGUGUAAAGGGCGUGUAGCCGGGCUGACAAGUCAGAUGUGAAAUCCCGCGGCUCAACCGCGGAACUGCAUUUGAAACUGUCAGUCUUGAGUACCGGAGAGGUCAUCGGAAUUCCUGGUGUAGCGGUGAAAUGCGUAGAUAUAAGGAGGAACACCAGUGGCGAAGGCGGUCUGCUGGACAGCAACUGACGGUGAGGCGCGAAAGCGUGGGGAGCAAACAGGAUUAGAUACCCCGGUAC
Molecule: ribosomal RNA, 448 nt
Filed under: uncultured bacterium
Lineage: Bacteria
Description: partial 16S ribosomal RNA
Rfam family: Bacterial small subunit ribosomal RNA
Source: RNAcentral